Molecule: transfer RNA, 75 nt
Filed under: Acidobacteriota bacterium
Lineage: Bacteria; Pseudomonadati; Acidobacteriota
Description: Acidobacteria bacterium tRNA-Arg
Rfam family: tRNA
About the family: Transfer RNA (tRNA) molecules are approximately 80 nucleotides in length. Their secondary structure includes four short double-helical elements and three loops (D, anti-codon, and T loops).
Source: RNAcentral
GCGCUCGUGGUGAAACGGAGAUCAUGCGAGGUUUCUACCCUCGUGGUCGCGGUUCGAGUCCGCGCGAGCGCACCG